UCAUGCUACAGAAACGAGGGUACAGGAAGAGGCCCCAUACUCAUUAUAUCCAGGGGACAUGAGGAAACCUUAUAACCUGAGGAGGAUAUAUGGGAUCAAAACACGUCCCAGUUGGAGGCCAUGGUGGGGUUUUUGGAUGUGAAUUGUGGAAAAGAACGACAUGAAAAUAAUGGUAUAGUUUGAUGUCAUCGGCCGUCCACAGCUGGGUUGUGAUCUAGGAGCAGUGCACGUGUAGGC
RNAcentral lists this long non-coding RNA (237 nucleotides) under Elaeis guineensis (African oil palm). RNAcentral describes it as "long non-coding RNA (EGUI_LNC006399)". Lineage: Eukaryota; Viridiplantae; Streptophyta; Magnoliopsida; Arecales; Arecaceae. The record is from RNAcentral.